UGCCUUGGCGACCGCGUCGCGCUCGAAGCCGCAGCCUCCGCCCCCGCCGCCGCCGCCAGAGCCCACCCGGCGGGUGCAGAUUCCCUUUGUCUCCUCCGCCUCCCCUCCUCCCUGCUUCCCUGCGUCCUCCCCCUCCCGCCUUUCCUUUGUCGCCCCGGAUUCCCCGGCAGCCGCCCUUCCUGCGCUCCGCUCCCGCUGCAGGUGCCCGGGGCCGCGAGGACAGGCCUCGCCGCCACCCCCACCCGGCCUGCCCAGUGCCUGGCAUGAAACCAGUGUUUCCAAAAGCGGUGCCGGGCUGAAGCGCCGCACAGGAACUUGCUUCCCUCACCUGGGCGGCCUCGCUGGCCUCUAGCCGGCCUGUACCGCGCAUAGCAGAGCUAGGAGACAUGACAGCCGCCCCCUUUAAGGACCCAAGAGAUUCCCCACGGACCUCUUCCCCUUCCUUCCGUUUGAGAGGGAGCGGUGUCACUUGGUGAGAGGGAGGAGACGGGAGGAAAAGGAGGUGAGACUCGACGUCCAGUGCCCUCUUGGCCUGGCUUGCUCGGCCUUCCCUGCAGCGAGGCGGGGCGCACAUCCCCUACCCGGGCCGCAGAGAACCUGUCGGCCGCCGAGUUCUGCAGCUCGAUGGCAUUGCGAGGCCGAAAGCAGAAUUUCCAGGACCUCUGAGAGUUGAAGUCGUUAUUCGGGGGGAGGGGAUUCUGUGAGCAAAAUGUGCUGCUGUUAGCAUUCACGGUCACCUGGUGAUGAAGAGUGCUGGGGAUUUGGCCACAGUAAUGGCCCUAACCCAGAACCCUCUUUGUCCUGGAGCAACAUAGCAGCUCUAGUGGCAGUGGCGUCAAACAUCAGAUUGGCUCAUAUUCUAGCCGAUACCCUCUUAGUGUGUGCCAGUCUUAGUGUUGACUGAUACACCCUAAGUGGGACUGUGGUUGCUCAUGAGGAGGGAAACCGAGGCCAGGUGAUAGGGGUGGAAGGAAACACGCUUUCCCUCUAAAUGCUUUGGGACCUGUGAAUAUCAUACCAUGUGCAUUUCUUAUUCACUCUUUAAAAUCAAAUGUUUUUAAUAUCACUUCUUCAAGAAAGUGUUCACUGACUCCCCCGAGAGUAAAUAAGAUAGAUUAGGUUUCCCGUCACGAUUCCAUUGCAGUCUGUACUUUUACCGCGAGAGCUCUUCGCAGAAUUAUGAAUAAACAGUAAUGAGUGUGCAACUCAUGUUUACAAGAGUCUUCCACACCAGGCUCUGAGCUCCAUGAGGGCAGGAGCAAGACCUGGCUUAUGCAUCACUGUUCCACAAGGGCUGACACACAGGCUUUAGCCAAUGUUUGUUGACGAAAGAAAUGAGAAGGGGACAAGAAAGAGGGUGAUGGCGGAGUGGUGGACCAGGUGCUGUCCAGAGGGUGAUGACAGAGUGGCAGGCCAGGUGCUGUCCAGAGGGUGAUGGCAGAGUGGCAGGCCAGGUGCUGUCCAGAGGGUGAUGGCAGAGUGGCGGGCCAGGUGCUGUCCAGAGGGUGAUGGCAGAGUGGCGGGCCAGGUGCUGUCCAGAGGGAGAGCCGGGGUGGCAGGAGGGGUGCCCAUCUCCACAUCCUCCUCUGAGCUCUGUGACCCUUGGGGGCUCAGCCGCUCCUUCACAGGCACUUCUAGAAUGUUGUUCCAAAUCAUUCUUGUAAUUCUUCUUUCUAGUAUAUGUUUAAAAAUUGUCAUAAUAAAAAGUGUGAUAAAUCAAUUAAAUUGUAUGUAAGGGGAAUCCUAUCAUGUGCUAGGCCAGUUCCCAGGCAGCUAAUUGGAGCAUUUAUCUGAAGCAAAGCGGGGCCAGCUCUUCUUCCGGUCGUUCCCAGGGAGGGUGAUGCUUAAACGGUUUAAAGCGGUGGUGCACAGGAAAAUCACCCAGGGAGCUUUAACAACGCGACAUUCAGGGGUCCACAGGCAGACCAAUUGAAGCAGAGUCUCUGGGGUUGGAGCCUGACCACUGCUAGGGCCAGUAUUUUUCAUAAGCUUAACGUGCAAUCAAGGUUGAGAAUCUUUGCUCUAUGGGCUCCCAGAGACAGACAAGAGGAAGUGGGGACACACUCACCAAACCCAAAGAUUCCAUUUCAGCUGUAAAGCUGACACUGAUACACUUGAGGCUAGACAAAGAGGCUGUUUGCUUCAGCCCACUUCAGAUUGUUUCAGUACUGCUCAUAUGACUUCUCUUUGCCUUAAAAUGCCUCCGGAUCCCAUCCUGUGACAGUCAUUUAAAACAAAUGUGUAACUGCCUAAUCAGGGCACAAACCAUUUUUCAGAUUUGCCUGGGCAGCAGUGACCUAAAUAUUACCCAGGGUGUCUGACUUCCAGCUCCAGAGGAAGAAUGUAUUUGGUUUGAUUGUUUUCAUGCCAAUAAAGUUGGGCCAGUAAUUCAAGGUCCCCAUUGGGAUAGCUGAAUCCUUCGAUGCUAUAAAUUAGUUCUUUAGAAAGCAGUGGUGUCGUUUUUAUUGAAUUGUUCACCUUCCAAUGGAAUCACUAUGCACCCACGCUAAUUUGUUGUGCCAUUGUUAAUGGAUAUAAGAUAAAAGGAGCAGGAACUGGAGAGGAUGGUGGAAGUGGCCCAGCCCAUUUACACCAGCCAGGUAUGUGGAGUAAAUCUUGGGAAAAUGUGUCUAUUUAAUCCACUUACAAGCCAAAUGGUGUAGCAAGUAGCAGCAGAUCCAUUCUGCUCUCUCUCUCCCAGGUAACAAUGCAGGCAGUAAAUAAGGCCUGUAUUAGAAGCCACUAAAGCUGUAAACACACACAGCAGGGAAAUUUGCCUAAACUGCCCACUGAGGUAUCAGAUGCAAUUGGCCUUCUAUUGGAAGUGUGUCUGCGCUCAAGGGCAAGCCAAAUUUGGCAAGAAGCCAUGUGGAGACACUUCACAUUUAAAUCUUCUACGAGACUGGGGGCAGGGAGACAAAGGUUCCUCUGGGGCUCUCAAAUCCAAUUGGUGAUUCCAGAGAAAAUGGGGACUCUUCAUGGCAGGCAGGAAAAGGGGAAAUGUGGCCUGAGAGAACCCACACUUUCCCAGCCAGCAAGCUCCAGCCUGGAUCAAAACAACCCAUUUCUGGGAACUUAAAAUAAAAAAUAAGAGAGCAGUCAAAUGAACUUGAGACCCCCACAGGGCCUUUCAUGUGUCUACCAGCAGCAGCAUGGUGAGUGGUUUCUGUGAUGUGGGAUUCCAGGGCAAGAGGCACUGGACCAUGGCCACUGGUUCAUCUCUCAUUAUAGGCCAGAAAUAGAUGCCCCAUCCCAGGAAAAGGGAAAUAAGGCUGCAUGGAAUGUUUCAUCUGUUGGAAUAUUGUUCUGCUCUGCCUGACAAGAUUACUGAGUUCUCAGUUCUGUAGCAAUGGCAUUGAGUAAGAGUCUGAAAAUUGAUGCAUUAUGUACUCGCUUAAAAUAGCAAAUGCAGAAUAGAAAAAGCAAAGCUGCUAGGAAGUGUGCAGAACAUAUUGAUAGAAAGGCCUGCUUUGCCUCUGUCAUUACCAGCAUGAAAGUGUGUAUCGGAGCAGGGGGUAGACUUUCCAUCAGAAGCAUCUGAGCAGUGGAGGCUCUUUUACCGCAAUGAGACAAGGGUACAUUUUUUUAGCUGACAUAAGUGAGUGUAAAUCUUUCUGUUCUCAAACAGGUGGUAGAAAGUGGGCAAUUUGUUUCUUUUCAUCUCCGUGUUCUGGGCUUGGUUUAUGAGAUAGCUGCCUCUGUUUUAACUUCUUUGAAUUCCCCUCAGAACAAAAAUCCCCCACCACCUGCUACUUAAUCAAAUAUUCUUCACUGUGGAUUAUAGUUGCCUGGAUGGGAGCAAGGUUCAGUGACAGUGUGAUGGAAAAUAUCCAAAAAGAACUAUGUCGUCAGCCCCAAGAAGAAAGCAUUAUCCUUUGUCCUUAAAAAUGGGAUUUAAGGCUGGGCACAGUGGCUCACACCUGUAAUACCAACACUUUGGGAGGCUGAGGCAAGAGGAUUGCUUGAGCCUAGGAGUUUAAGACAAGCCUGGGCAACAAAGCGAGACCCUGUCUCUACAAAAAA
This 4023-nucleotide long non-coding RNA is filed under the name Homo sapiens (human). RNAcentral describes it as "HSALNT0389337". Lineage: Eukaryota; Metazoa; Chordata; Mammalia; Primates; Hominidae. The record is from RNAcentral.